Molecule: unclassified non-coding RNA, 343 nt
Filed under: soil metagenome
Description: partial contains 5.8S ribosomal RNA, internal transcribed spacer 2, and large subunit ribosomal RNA
Rfam family: 5.8S ribosomal RNA (bases 1-120)
Source: RNAcentral
GAUGAAGAACGCAGCGAAAUGCGAUAAGUAAUGUGAAUUGCAGAAUUCUGUGAAUCAUCGAAUCUUUGAACGCACAUUGCGCCCGCUAGUAUUCUGGCGGGCAUGCCUGUCCGAGCGUCAUUUCAACCCUCAAGCCCCCGGGCUUGGUGUUGGGGAUCGGCGAGCCUCCGCGCCCGCCGUCCCCUAAAUCUAGUGGCGGUCUCGCUGUAGCUUCCUCUGCGUAGUAGCACACCUCGCACUGGGAAACAGCGCGGCCACGCCGUUAAACCCCCAACUUCUGAACGUUUGACCUCGGAUCAGGUAGGAAUACCCGCUGAACUUAAGCAUAUCAAUAAGCGGAGGA